Molecule: non-coding RNA, 221 nt
Filed under: Thermoactinomyces sp.
Lineage: Bacteria; Bacillati; Bacillota; Bacilli; Caryophanales; Thermoactinomycetaceae
Description: T-box sequence
Rfam family: T-box leader
About the family: Uncharged tRNA acts as the effector for transcription antitermination of genes in the T-box leader family. T-boxes are found upstream of many aminoacyl-tRNA synthetase genes and some amino acid biosynthetic genes usually in Gram-positive bacteria.
Source: RNAcentral
CAGAAAGUGUUGAAAAAGAGGAGUAGCACAGGGGAACUGUUCAGAGAGUUGGCGGGUGGUGCAAGCCAAUCAGGGACCUGUGUGAAUGGACUUUGGAGCUUUUUUUCCGAACGGGGCAUGAGUCCUCAGUAGGGAAAAACGGGAAGACCGUUAUCUGUUGAGUGCACCUUGAUUUCUCAGGUGAACGAGGGUGGUAUCGCGGGCAAAAACCCGUCCCUUUU